RNAcentral lists this small nucleolar RNA (132 nucleotides) under Anas zonorhyncha (Eastern spot-billed duck). RNAcentral describes it as "Small nucleolar RNA SNORA14 (ENSAZOG00000016304.1)". It matches the Rfam family "Small nucleolar RNA SNORA14". From Rfam's summary of the family: ACA14 is a member of the H/ACA class of snoRNA that guide the sites of modification of uridines to pseudouridines. Lineage: Eukaryota; Metazoa; Chordata; Aves; Anseriformes; Anatidae. The record is from Rfam by way of RNAcentral.
CCGCAUUCUGAAACCCUCCUGGCGGCCUCGGCCCUGGCCGCCAGGAUAAGAAUGAAUGCCAGAGGAAAAAGACGAUCAUCCAAAACGUGGAGCUCCGCCCGUGGCUCGCCGUUAUUUCACGUCCUCGACACU